CCUACGGGUGGCUGCAGUGAGGAAUAUUGGUCAAUGGACGAAAGUCUGAACCAGCCAUGCCGCGUGGAGGAUGAAGGCCCUCUGGGUUGUAAACUUCUUUUAUCAGGGAAGAAAAGUACUAUUUCUAUGGUAUCCGACGGUACCUGAUGAAUAAGCACCGGCUAACUCCGUGCCAGCAGCCGCGGUAAUACGGAGGGUGCAAGCGUUAUCCGGAUUUACUGGGUUUAAAGGGUGUGUAGGCGGACUUUUAAGUCAGAGGUGAAAUCCCAAGGCUC
RNAcentral lists this ribosomal RNA (275 nucleotides) under uncultured bacterium. Its description in RNAcentral is "partial 16S ribosomal RNA". It matches the Rfam family "Bacterial small subunit ribosomal RNA", at positions 338 to 610 of the family's 1533-position model. The record is from RNAcentral.